UUGGCAAACUUAUUGAAAAGUAAGGACGCAAAGCUGAGGGUCUAAGCCGCAAUUGAAAAGGCGGUAUGACAGCCGGUUGC
This 80-nucleotide non-coding RNA is filed under the name human gut metagenome. RNAcentral describes it as "Cyclic di-GMP-I riboswitch". It matches the Rfam family "c-di-GMP-I riboswitch aptamer", at positions 11 to 83 of the family's 87-position model. From Rfam's summary of the family: GEMM was predicted in a large-scale screen for bacterial structured RNA regulatory elements. Genes associated with GEMM are involved in a diverse array of functions, including chemotaxis regulation, signal transduction, secretion and chitin. The record is from RNAcentral.